GGCGAGCUGUCUGGAAGUUUCCACCCCUACCUGCUGAGCAACUACUAAAAAUGCUCCAGCUGUUUCUAUUUUGAUAGAAAGCGGCUAUGCUGCAAAGCCGAAGCUCCAAAUUUGGGGUACCAAAUAUAGUCCCAUAAUAUGCAAAAGACAGACAGAAGAGUGGCAUUGCACAACUGCUUCUGACAGAACCACCUCUACAAAAGAUCCUGCUAUAUGAACCAUAUUUGUCUUUAAGAUGCAAAACUAUUUGUUGAUCCUGCUACAAUAGACUAAAUCAAUGUCAGAAGUCCCCAGUUUUUAAAACAGGACCAAUAGACUUUAAACUCGCUAAGCUUGGGCCAGUUUGUUAUUUGUUUUGUUCCCUGACUUAGUGCGUGUUGAGUCUACCAAACUCUUUGGCUGGUUUAUUGAUUGGUUGUAUUGUGGACAGAAAAAUGAGAUAGUUCAGUACUAAAUUCAUAGUGUUGUACAGACCACCAUAGAAUUUGGUAUUAGAUAGCCAGCUGGGUGACCUUGGGCCAGUUCUUCAUUCUCAGACCUUGGAGAAGAAAGCAAAGCACUUUUGAAAAACCUUGCCAAGAAAACUGCUGUUGCCUCUAGUCAAGGCUGACUUCAAAAACACACAGACACAAAAACAAAAACUUUUCAAGGCUCAUAGACCCGGAAGCCAUUACAUUAAUUUAAAUGGAUUUGCACUGUAUUUUGCUCAGCUAUGAUGAUCUAUGUUUCUGCUUAUAUAGUUGAUAGGCUAAUAUAAAGCCCUGUUUUCCAUAAUUUCAACAAUGUUGUUAUGGUCAACCCAAGGCUGCAAUCUCCACUGAAGUCCCAAAGAAGUCCCAUAAAUGUCUUAAAAUCAGCAAUAACAGCAGCCCCAUUCUCUCCCCCUCUUUUUUCUUCCACUUUCUAGAGGCCUCUUGGAAAAACUAAAUUUUAAGGGGCAGAUGUGGGCCAUUCAGCAUUUUCUGAGUGCAGGAAAAGACGAUGUUGUCCACCAUCACCUCCUAGGCCAUUUCCAGAGUGUUUUCCACCUGCAAUCCAAAACUUAUUUUCUGACCCAAGAGGGGGUCUCCAGUGCUUUGAUUCAUUCUACCAGCAGCCCAAACUCUGAUUGGCUGCAGUGCCUGGCAUUUCCCCCUCCCCUUGGUCACUGCCCUGCACAGCUGUUUCAACCUGGGCUUGUGGGCUGCUCAGUUUAUUGCUGGUUGACAGUUGUGGAUUUUUAAGUAACCUUGCAGCUGAUCCAGUAAUGUCCUAGUAAAUCAAUGAAUCUAACUCAAACCAGGCUUAGAAGCAUGUGCACCAUUCAACUUUGAUGUCUCUCUUUUGAUUUCUGCCCAGGAUGGGUGAAGCGUGUUUCUCUUUUGUCUGGCAGUCGAGUCAUGGCAAUUGAACUUCUUUUCCUGUUGGUUUGAAAUGUUUUUGCUGCUUAUCCAAGUACCUUCUUCAGCCUGAGCAAGUUGGUUAGGGAAACUCCGUACUCACUGUGUCCUCCAGGGAGGUUUCAUUUCUCACCUAAUCUGGAUAGACUCCUUAGGUGAGUAGAUAGUCAUUGGGAUGUAAAUGUUCCAACUCCUAAAUCCUUUACCUAGGUGGGUUGUUAAGUUUGGCCUCCCUCACAUUCCCUGUCAAAAGUAGGAUUUUUCUACUUUGCUUUCUAUGAAGCUGAAUUUUCAGUUCUUCAUUGCUAUCAAGUUUCCAUGGAGCCAACAGGGAACACCUUGUUUGCUUUGAAUUGGGAGCUAUAGUGCUACAAAUCUGGGGGGGAGGGGAGAGAGAGAGAGAGAGAGAGAGAGAGAGAGAGAGAGAGAGAGAGAGAGAGAGAGAGA
This is a long non-coding RNA of Crotalus tigris (Tiger rattlesnake), 1826 nucleotides long. RefSeq lists it as uncharacterized. NCBI's taxonomy places the organism in Eukaryota, Metazoa, Chordata, Lepidosauria, Squamata, Viperidae. The transcript is spliced from 3 exons. The record is from RefSeq and is a predicted model, not a curated record.